CCUACGGGAGGCAGCAGUGGGGAAUAUUGCACAAUGGGGGAAACCCUGAUGCAGCGACGCCGCGUGAGUGAAGAAGUAAUUCGUUAUGUAAAGCUCUAUCAGUAGGGAAGAAACUGACGUUACCUGAGUAAGAUGCCCCGGCUAACUACGUGCCAGCAGCCGCGGUAAUACGUAGGGGGCAAGCGUUAUCCGGAUUUACUGGGUGUAAAGGGAGCGUAGACGGCAGUGCAAGUCUGGAGUGAAAGGCGGGGGCUCAACCCCCGGACUGCUCUGGAAACUGUACGGCUGGAGUGCAGGGGAGGUAAGUGGAAUUCCUAGUGUAGCGGUGAAAUGCGUAGAUAUGAGGAGGAACACCAGUGGCGAAGGCGGCUUACUGGACUGUAACUGACGUUGAGGCUCGAAAGCGUGGGGAGCGAACAGGAUUAGAUACCCCAGUAGUC
This 440-nucleotide ribosomal RNA is filed under the name uncultured bacterium. RNAcentral's name for it is "partial 16S ribosomal RNA". It matches the Rfam family "Bacterial small subunit ribosomal RNA", at positions 338 to 795 of the family's 1533-position model. The record is from RNAcentral.